This 1290-nucleotide ribosomal RNA is filed under the name Eristalis cerealis. Its description in RNAcentral is "16S ribosomal RNA". The stretch from base 1049 to 1208 matches the Rfam family "Archaeal large subunit ribosomal RNA", at positions 2544 to 2703 of the family's 2987-position model. Lineage: Eukaryota; Metazoa; Arthropoda; Insecta; Diptera; Syrphidae. The record is from RNAcentral.
AAAAAAAAUAAAUAUUAAAAAUAAUUAUAAAAUUUUAAAGUUUUAGUAUUUUAUAAAGAAAAAAUAAUUUUAAUAAUAGUUUAUUAGUAUUGUAAAAUAAAAUUGAAAUAUAUUGAAAAAUUUUUAUUUUAAAAGAAAAUUUUAUUUAUUGUAUCUUGUGUAUCAGAGUAUAUUAAAUAAAAAAUAUUUAUAUAUUUUUCUCGAUUUUAAAAGAUUUAAUAAAUUAUAAAUGUUAAUGUAAUAAAAUUAUAUUCAAUAAUUUAUUAGAAAUGAAAUGUUAUUCGUUUUUAAAGGUAUCUAGUUUUUUAAGAAAUAAAUUUAAUUUAAUAUUCAAAAUUUACUUAUUUAUUUUAUUAAUUAAGUAAUUUUUGAAAAUUAAUAUUCUAUGGGAUAAGCUAUAGAAUAAAUUUUUAUAAAUAAUAAAUAAUGUUUAAAAUUUAAUAUGUUUAAAAGUAUCAAUUUUUAUUAAGUUUGUUAUAAAUUAAUUUUUUUAAUAAAUUAUUUAUUAUAUUUUAAGUUUUUAUUAAAAUAUUUAUUUAAAUUUUAAAAAUAAAGAAAUAAUGAUAUAAUUAGUAUAUUUUUUUGUAAUAAUAUAUUUAAAAAUGAAAAGUUUAUGUAAAGAAUUCGGCAAAAAUAAUGUUCGCCUGUUUAACAAAAACAUGUCUUUUAGAAAUUAAUUUAAAGUCUGACCUGCCCACUGAAUUUAUUUUAAAUGGCCGCAGUAUAUUAACUGUGCAAAGGUAGCAUAAUCAUUAGUCUUUUAAUUGAAGGCUGGAAUGAAUGGUUGGACGAAAUAUUAACUGUUUCAUUUAAAUUUAUAAUAAAAUUUUAUUUUUUAGUCAAAAAGCUAAAAUAAAUUUAAAAGACGAGAAGACCCUAUGAAUCUUUAUAUAAAGUAUAUUUUAAUUUUGUAGAUUAUUUUAAUUAUAAUAUUAUUUUUAUAUUUUAUUGGGGUGAUAUUAAAAUUUAAAUAACUUUUAAGCUUUAAAUCAUUGAUUUAUGAAUAAAUGAUCCAUUUUUAAUGAUUAAAAAUUUAAGUUACUCUAGGGAUAACAGCGUAAUUUUUUUGGAGAGUUCAUAUCGAUAAAAAAGAUUGCGACCUCGAUGUUGGAUUAAGAAAUAGUUUUAGGUGUAGCCGUUUAAAUUUAAAGUCUGUUCGACUUUUAAAAUCUUACAUGAUCUGAGUUCAAACCGGCGUGAGCCAGGUUGGUUUCUAUCUUUAAUUAAUUAAUAUAUUUUAGUACGAAAGGAUUGAAUAUAUGAAUAAUUUUAUUUUAUAGAUAAAGAAUA